GAAUUUUUAUGUAAAAGUGGUGGUUCUUCAUAAAUUCUACAUGUUCUUUUCAAAUGAUGACCUCUACAAAGUUGUUCCAGGAGUACCAUAUUGCCUGACAAUCUUUUGUUUUAUUGUUAACUUAAACUGUACUUGAUUCUAGCAUGCCACUAUACUUCUUUGAAGUAAUUUGAGCAAAUUUCUCACUGUUUAGUAAUGUAUACAUUGUUUAAGGUACAUUAUAAUUUCACAUUUUGUAGGUGGACUUCAAUAUGUAUGAUCUACUUAUGCUGCCACAAUGUAAAGGCAACAAUCACUGGGUUUUGCUGUUUGCAAGUGUUAUGUCCAGGACUGUAACCAUUUACGACUCGUUGGGUGGUAACAACAAGGCAUUGUUCGAUUUGUUCUGCCAGUUCAUGUGUCAACGAGCGCAAAUUGUGAAGGAUGGCUUGGAAAAAAUUCAGUUCAGAGUUCAAAGCGCCACCUUGCAACAAACAGCGCCAUGGAAACAGCUGUGGAGUGUUUGCAUUGAUGACUGCCAAAUGUAUGGUCAUGAAAAAGCAUCCCACAAUGUUGCGACAGGCCCAUGAUUCAGUUUAUCGAGACUAGUCGUGAGACGCAGACUUCUGAUUCAUGGAGUGCGGCAAACAUAUCUGUGCGACUCGAUCACUCCACUGUAAAGACCCGCACGGCAUUAAAAUGGAUAUUAUCAAUAUGUGUUGUUGCUCGAAAAUAUGUUUUGUAGCAGGAAGUGCUUUGGGCUCGAUUAAUCUGAGAACUCAACAAAAUAUUAAUAAAAUCCUUCUGUGCCUUUUAGUUCUGAAAACAGAAGUAGCCAGUUGGUAUUACACAUCUCCUAAACAAGUACAGCACAAUAAAACUGAAGGUUUUAAAUCCUACAUUU
Long non-coding RNA from Dreissena polymorpha, 883 nucleotides. RefSeq lists it as uncharacterized. The transcript is spliced from 3 exons. Lineage: Eukaryota; Metazoa; Mollusca; Bivalvia; Myida; Dreissenidae. The record is from RefSeq and is a predicted model, not a curated record.